This 253-nucleotide ribosomal RNA is filed under the name uncultured bacterium. RNAcentral's name for it is "partial 16S ribosomal RNA". It matches the Rfam family "Bacterial small subunit ribosomal RNA", at positions 524 to 776 of the family's 1533-position model. The record is from RNAcentral.
UACGUAGGGGGCAAGCGUUGUCCGGAUUUAUUGGGCGUAAAGGGCUCGUAGGCGGUUUGUCGCGUCGGGAGUGAAAUCCACUGGCUUAACUGGUGGCUUGCUUUCGAUACGGGCAGACUGGAGGUAUGCAGGGGAGAACGGAAUUCCUGGUGUAGCGGUGAAAUGCGUAGAUAUCAGGAGGAACACCGGUGGUGUAGACGGCUCUCUGGACCGUAACUGACGCUGAGGCACGAAAGCGUGGGUAGCAAACAGG